This is a non-coding RNA of Azotobacter vinelandii DJ, 120 nucleotides long. The record is from Rfam. Lineage: Bacteria; Pseudomonadati; Pseudomonadota; Gammaproteobacteria; Pseudomonadales; Pseudomonadaceae.
CUGCCGGGCCUUGCCUUGACUGGGUUUCGGAGUCUCUUUAGACUUACGGACCCUAAAUUUGGCAGGGCGGACCGCUCUGCCAUUUUGUUUAUGUCGAAAGACAACAGUGGAGCUAGUAGA